This 255-nucleotide ribosomal RNA is filed under the name uncultured bacterium. RNAcentral describes it as "partial 16S ribosomal RNA". The record is from RNAcentral.
CUGCUGCCUUCCGUAGGAGUUUGGGCCGUGUCUCAGUCCCAAUGUGGCCGGCCACCCUCUCAGGUCGGCUACUGAUCGUCGCCUUGGUGGGCCGUUACCUCACCAACCAGCUAAUCAGACGCGGAUCCAUCCCAUACCACCGGAGUUUUUCACACCAGACCAUGCGGUCCUGUGCGCUUAUGCGGUAUUAGCAGUCAUUUCUAACUGUUAUCCCCCUGUAUGAGGCAGGUUAUCCACGCGUUACUCACCCGUCCG